GAUGAACGCUGGCGGCGUGCUUAACACAUGCCAGUCGAACGGAAAGGCCCAAGCUUUCUUGGGUACUCGAGUGGCGAACGGGUGAGUAACACGUGGGGGAUCUGCCCUUCACUUCGGGAUAAGCCUGGGAAACUGGGUCUAAUACCGGAUAGGACGAUGGUUUGGAUGCCAUUGUGUAAAGUUUUUUCGGUGUGGGAUGAGCUCGCGGCCUAUCAGCUUGUUGGUGGGGUAAUGGCCUACCAAGGCGUCGACGGGUAGCCGGCCUGAGAGGGUGUACGGCCACAUUGGGACGGAGAUACGGCCCAGACUCCUACGGGAGGCAGCAGUGGGGAAUAUUGCACAAUGGGCGCAAGCCUGAUGCAGCGACGCCGCGUGGGGGAUGACGGCCUUCGGGUUGUAAACUCCUUUCGCUAGGGACGAAGCGUUUUUGUGACGGUACCUGGAGAAGAAGCACCGGCUAACUACGUG
RNAcentral lists this ribosomal RNA (468 nucleotides) under uncultured bacterium. RNAcentral's name for it is "partial 16S ribosomal RNA". It matches the Rfam family "Bacterial small subunit ribosomal RNA", at positions 28 to 507 of the family's 1533-position model. The record is from RNAcentral.